This is a long non-coding RNA of Anas platyrhynchos (mallard), 1911 nucleotides long. RefSeq lists it as uncharacterized. The record is from RefSeq and is a predicted model, not a curated record. NCBI's taxonomy places the organism in Eukaryota, Metazoa, Chordata, Aves, Anseriformes, Anatidae.
CUCGAUAUUACUGCAGCGGUUCCUUUCAUGGCAGCCCCUUCUUCCUGCUCACUCCCUUCUCAGGGCAUUCCCUCCUCUUUCAUUCCUCUGCCUUCUUGGAAUGAGAACCGUAUCUUUCCUGUUUCUUAUACCUUCUUCCUUUCAACCCCUUUUGCAUGCUUAAAUUGUGGUCUCCCGUCUGAGUGGUUCUUUCCGCUAACUGAGUCUAGCCUUUGCUUAAGAAGCCUCUCUCUGCAAAAGCAUUUAUUACACUGAAUUGCGUGUAGUAUUCAGUUUAUACGGACAAUGGAAGCUACAGAUGCUAAUAUGGAAAAUGGAAAAGGGAACUGCCACGUAGUUUUGUACUUAAUCCUAUAGUCUCAGUGUUUUGAAUGCUUCACUGGAUUCAUUGACCGGGCUUGCUUACCUAAUUAGAAAUAUCUGACCAGGCUUGUGUUUCCUAACAGUGGGAGAAAAACAAAGAUCAUCCUGGAAGAUCUCUGAAGAAAGAACAUUUCAAAAAAAAGUGGCUGUCAACAUGCCCCUGCAGGACCUGACUUAUCCAGUCCGAAGCUCCAUCACACCAGCCUGGGACCGGCCAUCAUCCUGCUGCGUGACCUCCUCCUCCCUGAGGAGGUGAACCUCAUCAAACCUCAGCGUUUUACCACAAAACUGAAGCUAUUGUUCAAAAAUAAAAGGAAUGGUAAAUGGUUUGGUAUGGCUUGGGAUGUCACCUAUGAUGGUUUUACGUUCAGAGACGACUAGGAGUUAUGUUUAGUGGCAUGACACUCAUUUCCUUCAUAAAGACAUUCCUGAAAUAGUAGCGGGUUUUAUUGCUCACCUGCGGGGCUCAAGCUGAUAUAUGCUGUAAGUGUGCAGCCAUGUUCCCCAUCAAUUCAAUUUGCAUUCAUCAAUCUCUUCUGUCCAGUGAUUGAUUAUAUGAUUCAUCCUGACGGUCAUCAGGCCAUCCCACUAAGGUAUUCAGUAACUCAGUAGUACGGCAUUUCCACACGGAGAUGCCACCAUUUACAAGAAGCCUGCAGCAGUCCUGUGUCUGCUAGGACACAUAAUAGACGCACACAUACCAGUGUGACAUACAAAUGUCAUCAGACAGAAUUAUGAAUUCUAUCUGAAUUCAUAAUUUCAUUAUGAAAUUUGAAAAUGCGGCUAACAUUUUGCAGGAAAAAUAAUAAUAAUAAAGUUUAGGGCAGAAUGGCAAAUACCUUUCUUAGAGAUACAUGAUACGAUAGUGCAUAACACUCUUAUCAAAGGCUACAGCUCCAGCAAAUGCAGAUCAUCCUUUCCAUCUGGAGAAGGGGUCUAAUGAAGAUGUGUACACAGACUUGAUGCAUUCCUUUUCCAUAUAUUCCCCCCAUCACAUCUCAUUUUGUUUCUUCUGUCAACAAAAUCUGCUUCCAAAUUAAAUUAGGGUAGCAUGAGCGUAUGUGCCCAGUAAUCAGUAAAAUAUUAGGUUUUUUUUUUUUUUUUUUUUUUUUUUUUUGUGGUUUGUUUGUUUUUUUUUUUUUUUUUUUAGAGAGACGGAAUAAAGACAUCCAAGUAGCAGGAACUACUUAGUUGUUGGGUUGUGUUUUGUUUUGUGUUUUGUUUUGUUUUGUUUUGUUUUUCUUACCAGCUUUUUCUUUCAGGCUCACAAGUUCUUUUGACUUUUAUUUUGCGGUCACUGUUCAAUUACACCAUCUAAGAAAUGAGAUAAAGUAUAUCUAAUCUUACCCAAAAUUAUCAGUGAAGAUCCCCCAAAUAAAAACUUAACAAUGUAAAACUGAAAAGCAGGAAGAAGGAAGUCAGCAAAAUUCUUAAAAGCAAAGCCCUUACACUUGUUAGAUGUAAACUUUUGAGGAAAAUGGGCACAAACAUUAUGUACCAAAUUCUGCCUUGGACUUCUGCCAUGGAGACCAGUAAACAGAAAAAAAA